UCAUAUGCUUGUCUCAAAGAUUAAGCCAUGCAUGUCUAAGUAUAAGCUUGUUUAUACGGCGAGACUGCGGAUGGCUCAUUAAAUCAGUUAUAGUUUAUUUGAUGGUCUCUUUUGUCUUUUUUUACCUACUUGGAUAACCGUGGUAAUUCUAGAGCUAAUACAUGCGCAAGGUCCCGAGCGCGGGGGGCGGGGCUUCACGGCUCCGUCCUCGCAUGCGCAGAGGGAUGUAUUUAUUAGGUUAAAAACCAGCGUAUCAGCACUGGCUACACACCUACUGGUGAUUCAUAGUAACUCUUUCGGAUCGCAUUCAUGUCCUCCUUCGUGGGGACGGCAACGAUUCAUUCAAAUUUCUGCCCUAUCAACUUUCGAUGGUAGGAUAGAGGCCUACCAUUGG
This 394-nucleotide ribosomal RNA is filed under the name Acanthamoeba sp. RNAcentral's name for it is "SSU rRNA". It matches the Rfam family "Eukaryotic small subunit ribosomal RNA", at positions 24 to 350 of the family's 1831-position model. The record is from RNAcentral. Lineage: Eukaryota; Discosea; Longamoebia; Acanthamoebidae.